AUCCCAUCCCCACCUGCAAAGCUACCACACUCACACAAUACUUCAUUUAAUUCUCACAAGUAUAGGAGUUUAUGCAUUUAAAAUUAGGUUUGCCAAACUGCCAAGAGUAUAUGGCACAACAAGUACACAAGCCUUGCUGAUCAGUGAAGAGGAGAUCGUGUUUCCUUUCAUCCUCCACAGCACACAGCACUUCUGCUCCAAAGUGAAUCUUGGGAAGAGCCAUCACCUCCUAAUAUGAAUGAAAGGACUUCCCCGGGACCAUGC
Molecule: long non-coding RNA, 264 nt
Organism: Fukomys damarensis (Damara mole-rat)
Lineage: Eukaryota; Metazoa; Chordata; Mammalia; Rodentia; Bathyergidae
Exons: 3
Source: RefSeq, a predicted model, not a curated record